Molecule: long non-coding RNA, 427 nt
Filed under: Homo sapiens (human)
Lineage: Eukaryota; Metazoa; Chordata; Mammalia; Primates; Hominidae
Description: non-protein coding LINC02440:16
Source: RNAcentral
GAGGAGAGUCUGGAAGGAACCCAAAGGCUCUAGAGGCUAGAAAUUGGCAGUCAGGAUGUGUGUAAGGCCACGCUCCCUCUGAAGACUCCAGGGGAGGAUCUUUCCUUGCCUCCUCCAGCUUCUGGUGGCUGCCAGCAUCCUUGGCAUUCCUUGGCCUGUGGACACAUCACUCUCAUCUCUGCCCAUGGUCACCCCAGAACCCCAAGCUCCAGAAUACAGACCAGCAGGCGAGGAGACAAGGAGGCAAGCAGAUGGAUGGUGGAACAAAGUGGCAGAGAAAGAGAGAAGAGGAGAGAUGUCUGGACGCCAAGAGGAGUCUGGCUGGGGCCAGUCAGAGAAGAGUCCAGCGGCUGGGCAGCCCGACUCCAGGGGAAGAUCACCUUCCCACUCCAUCCCCCUUCACGCUCCCCAUCCAUCUCACUAAGAG